This 46-nucleotide non-coding RNA is filed under the name Schistosoma mansoni. The record is from RNAcentral. Lineage: Eukaryota; Metazoa; Platyhelminthes; Trematoda; Strigeidida; Schistosomatidae.
GCGCUGCUGAGGAGUCCGAUAAUAGGACGAAACGGCUGUCGAGUGC